This 181-nucleotide unclassified non-coding RNA is filed under the name uncultured Elaphomycetaceae. RNAcentral's name for it is "sequence contains ITS2". Lineage: Eukaryota; Fungi; Ascomycota; Eurotiomycetes; Eurotiales; Elaphomycetaceae. The record is from RNAcentral.
CUAUACCUCAAGCCCGGCUUGUGUGAUGGACUCACUGUCUAAUUGGACAGUAGCCCCAAAGGCAGUGGCAGGGUCGCAGUCCGGUCUUUUAAAUGCGUAUGGGGCAUUGUCACCCGCUUGAAAGCUGGCCGACCCUUUAAGCCUAUUGUGAGAGAAAUCCACAAUUGUUUUAUUAUUUCCU